UACGUAGGGGGCUAGCGUUGUUCGGAAUCACUGGGCGUAAAGCGCACGUAGGCGGCCUCUUAAGUCAGGGGUGAAAUCCUGGAGCUCAACUCCAGAACUGCCUUUGAUACUGGGAGUCUUGAGUUCGGGAGAGGUGAGUGGAACUGCGAGUGUAGAGGUGAAAUUCGUAGAUAUUCGCAAGAACACCAGUGGCGAAGGCGGCCAACUGGUCCGGUUCUGACGCUGAGGCGCGAAAGCGUGGGGAGCAAACAGG
This 253-nucleotide ribosomal RNA is filed under the name uncultured bacterium. Its description in RNAcentral is "partial 16S ribosomal RNA". It matches the Rfam family "Bacterial small subunit ribosomal RNA", at positions 524 to 776 of the family's 1533-position model. The record is from RNAcentral.